GACGAACGCUGGCGGCGUGCCUAAUACAUGCAAGUAGAACGCUGAAGAGAGGAGCUUGCUCUUCUUGGAUGAGUUGCGAACGGGUGAGUAACGCGUAGGUAACCUGCCUUGUAGCGGGGGAUAACUAUUGGAAACGAUAGCUAAUACCGCAUAACAAUGGAUGACACAUGUCAUUUAUUUGAAAGGGGCAAUUGCUCCACUACAAGAUGGACCUGCGUUGUAUUAGCUAGUAGGUGAGGUAACGGCUCACCUAGGCGACGAUACAUAGCCGACCUGAGAGGGUGAUCGGCCACACUGGGACUGAGACACGGCCCAGACUCCUACGGGAGGCAGCAGUAGGGAAUCUUCGGCAAUGGGGGCAACCCUGACCGAGCAACGCCGCGUGAGUGAAGAAGGUUUUCGGAUCGUAAAGCUCUGUUGUAAGUCAAGAACGAGUGUGAGAGUGGAAAGUUCACACUGUGACGGUAGCUUACCAGAAAGGGACGGCUAACUACGUGCCAGCAGCCGCGGUAAUACGUAGGUCCCGAGCGUUGUCCGGAUUUAUUGGGCGUAAAGCGAGCGCAGGCGGUUUGAUAAGUCUGAAGUUAAAGGCUGUGGCUCAACCAUAGUUCGCUUUGGAAACUGUCAAACUUGAGUGCAGAAGGGGAGAGUGGAAUUCCAUGUGUAGCGGUGAAAUGCGUAGAUAUAUGGAGGAACACCGGUGGCGAAAGCGGCUCUCUGGUCUGUAACUGACGCUGAGGCUCGAAAGCGUGGGGAGCGAACAGGAUUAGAUACCCUGGUAGUCCACGCCGUAAACGAUGAGUGCUAGGUGUUGGAUCCUUUCCGGGAUUCAGUGCCGCAGCUAACGCAUUAAGCACUCCGCCUGGGGAGUACGACCGCAAGGUUGAAACUCAAAGGAAUUGACGGGGGCCCGCACAAGCGGUGGAGCAUGUGGUUUAAUUCGAAGCAACGCGAAGAACCUUACCAGGUCUUGACAUCCCGAUGCUAUUUCUAGAGAUAGAAAGUUACUUCGGUACAUCGGUGACAGGUGGUGCAUGGUUGUCGUCAGCUCGUGUCGUAAGAUGUUGGGUUAAGUCCCGCAACGAGCGCAACCCCUAUUGUUAGUUGCCACCAUUCAGUUGGGCACUCUAGCGAGACUGCCGGUAAUAAACCGGAGGAAGGUGGGGAUGACGUCAAAUCAUCAUGCCCCUUAUGACCUGGGCUACACACGUGCUACAAUGGUUGGUACAACGAGUUGCGAGUCGGUGACGGCAAGCUAAUCUCUUAAAGCCAAUCUCAGUUCGGAUUGUAGGCUGCAACUCGCCUACAUGAAGUCGGAAUCGCAAGUAAUCGCGGAUCAGCACGCCGCGGUGAAUACGUUCCCGGGCCU
This 1369-nucleotide ribosomal RNA is filed under the name uncultured bacterium. RNAcentral describes it as "bacterial SSU rRNA". It matches the Rfam family "Bacterial small subunit ribosomal RNA", at positions 28 to 1381 of the family's 1533-position model. The record is from RNAcentral.